This is a long non-coding RNA of Nilaparvata lugens (brown planthopper), 390 nucleotides long. RefSeq lists it as uncharacterized. The record is from RefSeq and is a predicted model, not a curated record. NCBI's taxonomy places the organism in Eukaryota, Metazoa, Arthropoda, Insecta, Hemiptera, Delphacidae. The transcript is spliced from 2 exons.
CUUUUGGACCAUGGGGAGGUCCAUUUGGACCUUGGGGAGGACCUUUCGGACCAUUUGAUGGACCGUUUGGUGGACCAUUCGGAGGACCCUUUGGCGGACCAUUUGGAGGACCCUUUGGAGGACCAUUUGGACCUUUUGGACCCUGGUAAACAACUGGAUGAGAAUGUACAGCGGAUCAAUGGAUACUAACAAUUUAAGAACAUCAUUUUGCUUUGCUUAUGCCAGAAUAUGCAUGAUUUGUAUAUAAUUAGUCUUUAAAUUUCGACUUUUCAUCUGAUUACUAUUCAUUAGUUCAAUUAUAUCACUAUCAUUAUCAGUUCUUCACUUAUUCUCAUUACAUAUGAAAAUGUUUAAGUUAUAAUUUCAUAAAAAUAGUUUUUCCAAAUAUGA